RNAcentral lists this microRNA precursor (95 nucleotides) under Clytia hemisphaerica. Its description in RNAcentral is "microRNA mir-598". Lineage: Eukaryota; Metazoa; Cnidaria; Hydrozoa; Leptothecata; Clytiidae. The record is from RNAcentral.
CAAUGAUGCUGGUCAAUGCAAUGAUGGAAUCAAUGGUGCUGGUUGUUGGAUUGCAUUGACCAGCACCGUUGAUUCCAUCAUUGCAUUGACCAGCA